UCUAUUCAGACAGACAAGCUAUCUCUGCUGGGGAGCACCAUCGACUAUGUGAAGCAGCUAGAGGAGAAGGCGAAGGCCCUGGAUGAGCAAGGCUCACGGAGAUCGUCAGAGUCCAUGGUGUUUGACAGCAAGUGCCACAUAUCCGCUGCCGACAAUGGUGCAGCAGGCCCCAGCGGGAGCGGCUCCGGGUACUCGAGCCCGGACAUCGAGGCCAGCAUCCUGGGGAACACAGCGCUCCUGAGUAUCUGCUGCAGAGGGAGAAAAGGGGUGCUGGUGAUGGUCCUCUCCGAGCUGGAGAACCAGGGCCUCUCAAUCAUAAACACCAACGUCGUACCUUUUACCAACUCCUACCUCAACAUCACCAUCACAGCAAAGGCAAUGGCCCCUCUACCCUCCUAUCCUACAUUGUGCAAAUGCGUUAUAACUUGCGAGAGAACAAACCGCGAUUUGCACUCUAAUGCGGACUACAAACGGAGCAAAAUAAGUGAAUCUACACUCUAA
Molecule: ribosomal RNA, 501 nt
Filed under: Triticum aestivum (bread wheat)
Lineage: Eukaryota; Viridiplantae; Streptophyta; Magnoliopsida; Poales; Poaceae
Description: partial small subunit ribosomal RNA
Source: RNAcentral